ACGCUGGCGGCGUGCUUAACACAUGCCCUUUAAACGAUUAAACCGCCCUCGGGCGGACAUAGAGUGGCGAACGGGUGAGUAACACGUGACCAACCUGCCCCGCGCUCCGGGACAACCGCUGGAAACGGCGGCUAAUACCGGAUACUCCGGGAGGGCCCCAUGGCCCUGCCGGGAAAGCCGAGACGGCGCGGGAUGGGGUCGCGGCCCAUUAGGUAGACGGCGGGGUAACGGCCCACCGUGCCCGCGAUGGGUAGCCGGACUGAGAGGUCGACCGGCCACAUUGGGACUGAGAUACGGCCCACACUCCUACGGGAGGCAGCAGUGGGGAAUUUUGCGCAAUGGGGGAAACCCUGACGCAGCAACGCCGCGUGCGGGACGAAGGCCCUCGGGUUGUAAACCGCUUUCAGCAGGGAAGAUCCAAGACGGUACCUGCAGAAGAAGCUCCGGCUAACUACGUGCCAGCACCCGCGGUAAUACGUAGGGGGCGAGCGUUAUCCGGAUUCAUUGGGCGUAAAGCGCGCGUAGGCGGCCGCCUAAGCGGGACCUCUAACCUCGGGGCUCAACCCCGGGCUCGGGUCCCGGACUGGGCGGCUCGAGUGCGGUAGAGGAGAGCGCAAUUCCCGGUGUAUCGGUGGAAUGCGCAGAUAUCGGGAAGAACACCGAUGGCGAAGGCAGCUUUUUGGGCCGUCACUGACGCUGAGGCGCGAGAGCUGGGGGAGCGAACAGGAUUAGAUACCCUGGUAGUCCCAGCCGUAAACGAUGGGCGCUAGGUGUGGGGGGACGAUCCCUCCGUGCCGCAGCCAACGCAUUAAGCGCCCCGCCUGGGGAGUACGGCCGCAAGGCUAAAACUCAAAGGAAUUGACGGGGGCCCGCACAAGCAGCGGAGCAUGUGGCUUAAUUCGAAGCAACGCGAAGAACCUUACCAGGGCUUGACAUGCCGAUGAAGCCGGGGAGACCCGGUGGCCGAGAGGAGUCGGCGCAGGUGGUGCAUGGCUGUCGUCAGCUCGUGUCGUGAGAUGUUGGGUUAAGUCCCGCAACGAGCGCAACCCCCGCCCCGUGUUGCCAGCAUUCAGUUGGGGACUCGCGGGGGACUGCCGGCGUCAAGCCGGAGGAAGGUGGGGACGACGUCAAGUCAUCAUGCCCCUUAUGCCCUGGGCUGCACACGUGCUACAAUGGCCGGUACAGAGGGUUGCCACCCCGCGAGGGGGAGCGGAUCCCGGAAAGCCGGUCCCAGUUCGGAUCGCAGGCUGCAACCCGCCUGCGUGAAGCCGGAGAAGGUAGUAAUCGCGGAUCAGCACGCCGCGG
This 1305-nucleotide ribosomal RNA is filed under the name uncultured bacterium. Its description in RNAcentral is "bacterial SSU rRNA". It matches the Rfam family "Bacterial small subunit ribosomal RNA", at positions 33 to 1362 of the family's 1533-position model. The record is from RNAcentral.